UUUGUUUACUGCAAGUUGAAUGUAUAACCUUGCACAUCAUUCAUAUAUUCAUUUGAUCAAUUAGUUUAUUGUUUUUACGUCAUAUUAUGUUGUAAUCUUGCUUUUUAAUAUUUUGAUGAAUGGAUAUGAAUAAGUAUUGUGUAAUCUCUGAGAUAUAAAAAAAAAAGUAUGCGUGCAAUAAGCUAUUUGCCAAUUACCGUUAUUGACCCUGAAAUUAGAGAUCCCUUUUUUAGUUGUCUCCCUUAUGAGGGACAUUAAUUUUUAUUUACAAUGAAGAGCUAGCAGAAGAGCAAAUUUACUGUGUAAUGUGAGUAAUCUAUAAGGUUUUCAAAUCUUUUAAUUACAUUCAUUUGUUGUUUUGCUAAAUACUUUUGACAUCAGAAAUUAUUUUUCAUGAAAAAUUAGUGAAACCGGCGAUACAUCGCUUUCAAUUCAUCAUGCUUUACAUUGACAAAAGCCCAUUUUGUCUGGUAUUGAACCAGUCUAUUAUUGACAAAGGGAAGUAAUUUGUUUAAAAAGUGUGUAAUAACAGAAUCAAAUUGGUAAUUGGCAAAAAACCUAUUAGUUCAAUUCGUCAUGUUUAAUAAAAUUUAGAGAGUGUUUUUGUUACAAUUAACAAAAUUGAUAUUAGGUUGUUUUUUUCUUGUAUAAAGUGAGUAUGUUAGCCUCAACUAUGACCUCUUUGAAAGAGGAAAUGUUUUGUUUUUGUUGUUGUAGGAUUGUGUUUCUAAAACUAUUGGAUGUGUUUCUAUGUUAUUUAU
RNAcentral lists this long non-coding RNA (761 nucleotides) under Mytilus galloprovincialis (Mediterranean mussel). The record is from RNAcentral. Lineage: Eukaryota; Metazoa; Mollusca; Bivalvia; Mytilida; Mytilidae.